UACGGAGGAUGCAAGCGUUAUCCGGAAUGAUUGGGCGUAAAGCGUCCGCAGGUGGCUGUGUAAGUCUGCUGUCAAAGAGCGAAGCUCAACUUCGUAAAGGCAGUGGAAACUACACGGCUAGAGUGCGUUCGGGGCAGAGGGAAUUCCUGGUGUAGCGGUGAAAUGCGUAGAGAUCAGGAAGAACACCGGCGGCGAAGGCGCUCUGCUAGGCCGCAACUGACACUGAGGGACGAAAGCUAGGGGAGCGAAUGGG
RNAcentral lists this ribosomal RNA (253 nucleotides) under uncultured bacterium. RNAcentral describes it as "partial 16S ribosomal RNA". It matches the Rfam family "Bacterial small subunit ribosomal RNA", at positions 524 to 776 of the family's 1533-position model. The record is from RNAcentral.